ACUCCCAGGGGCACGAAGCCACCCGGUGGAUGGCUCGGCUCGAGCGCCGAAGAAGGGCGCGGCAAGCAGCGAUAUGCCCGGGGUAGGCGCAAGCAGCCUUUGAACCCGGGAUUCCCUAAUGGGACCUCCUGCCCCUUUGGGGCGUACCCGACCUGAAUAAGGUUCGGGUACGGGAACCCCCCGAACGGAAACAUCUUAGUAGGGGGAGGAGGAGAAAUCAAACCGAGAUCCCCUGAGUAGGGGCGACCGAAAGGGGGAGAGCCCAAACCAAACCUGCCGGCGAUAAGUCGGUGGGGAUGUGGUGUUGCUGACCCUUGGUCUGGGAUUCGAUCCCAGCCCCCCUGGCCCAUCUAGCCGAACUCCCCUGGAAUGGGGGGCCAUAGAGGGUGAUAGCCCCGUAGGCUAAAGAUGGGUGGGGGGUGGCCAAGGGUAGAGUACCAUCCCCUGGUUUGGGGGUGGGAAGCUAGGGGACAUGCGCCUCUAAGGCUAAAUACGUCUCGAGGCCGAUAGCGUACUAAGUACCGUGAGGGAAAGCUGAAAAGAACCCCGGAAGGGGUGUGAAAAGAGCCUGAAACCGGGUGGUCACACAGGGUAGGGCUCGAAAGGAAUGAAGCCUCCCGAAGGAAAGGGGUGUAAGCCCUGAGUACGAGGGAGGUGGACCGGAGUCCUACCUUUCGUCUUGAAACACGGGCCGGGGAGUCCAUGCCAGUGGCGAGCCUAAGGGGUUUAACCCCGAAGGCGUAGGGAAACCGAGUGCCCGCAACCCGGGAAACCGGGUGAGGGGCAGGGUCCGCCAGGGCCUGGAGUCACUGGCAUGGGACUAGAAACCGGGCGAUCUAGACCAGGGCAGGCCGAAGGCGGGGGAAACCCCGCUGGAGGGCCGAAUAGGGGUUCUGACGUGCAAUUCGUUCCCCUGACCCUGGUCUAGGGGCAAAAGACCAAUCUAGCCCGGUGAUAGCUAGUUCCCCCCGAAAUGUGCCCUAACACAGCCUCCCUGGAGGCUACCUACGGGGUAGAGUUACAGAUUGGGGGUCCAGGGCGUAAGCUCUGGACUUCCAGUCUAACUCCGAACCCGUAGGCGCCGAAGAAGGGGGGAGUGGGUCCCUCGCCGUAAGGGUGGGGGGCAAGAGGGAAACAACCCUGACCCGGGUUAAGGCCCCAAAAUGCCGGCUAAGUGCGUCUGAAGGGCGUCUCCAGCCUUAGACAGCGGGAAGGUGGGCCCAGCAGCAGCCAUCCUCUAAGGAGUGCGUAACAGCUCACCCGCCGAGGCUGGAGGCCCCUAAGACUGGUCGGGGCUCAAGCCGGCUGCCGAGACCCGGGUAGUGGGCCUCACUGAGGCUCACUAGGUAGGGGGGCGCUGCGGUAGGGCAGAAGGCGGGCCGUGAGGUCCGCUGGACCUACCGCAGGUGCCGAUCCCGGCGGCAGUAACAGCGAAGGAGGGUGAGAAUCCCUCCCGCCGGAAGGGCCAGGGUUUCCCGGCAAUGGUCGUCAGCCGGGAGUGAGCCGGUCCUAAGGCGGGGCCUAACUGGUACCCGCCGAAAGGGAAAGGGGUUAAUAUUCCCCUGCCUGGUGGGUAGGUGCGGCAACGCAAGCCGGGCUCCUGACAGGUCAGGAUAGGGGGAGUGGAGCCACCGCUCCACCCAAGUACUGAAACCCCCGGAGAGCCGUAAUGGCGAGAAGGGGGUGAAAGUGCGAUGGGCCCCUUAUGGGGUUCCCCUGAUUCCUGGCCUCCAUGAAAAGGGAGCCCGGAACGAUCCCACCAGACCGUACCGAGAACCGACACAGGUGCCCCUGGGUGAGAAGCCCAAGGCGGCUGGGGGGUAACCCAGGCUAGGGAACUCGGCAAAUUAGCCCCGUAACUUCGGGAGAAGGGGUGCCUACCAUGGUCGUAAACCGGCCAUGGUAGGUCGCAGUGACAAGGGGGACCUGACUGUUUAAUAAAAACAUAGGUCCCCGCAAGCCCGUAAGGGUGUGUACGGGGGCUAAAUCCUGGCCACUGGCGGUAGGUGAAACCCGGGUUCAACCGGGCGAAGCCCCGCUGAAGGCCGGGGGUAACUCUGACCCUCUUAAGGUAGCCAAAUGCCUUGCCGGGCAAGUUCCGGCGCGCAUGAAUGGAUCAACGCGGUCCCCGCUGUCCCAGCCUGGGGCCCCGUGAACGCCCAGAGUGGGUGCACAGUCCCGCAACUCCCCACACCGAGAGAAGACCCCGUGGAGCUUCACCGCAGCCUGGCAUUGCCUGUCGGGCGCUCAUGCGUAGAGUAGGUGGGAGGGGUCGAACCCAUCCUUUCGGGGAUGGGGGACCCGAAGGUGAAACACCACCCAUGAGUGCCCGAUGGGCUAACCCCCGAAAGGGGGAACAGUGUCAGGUGGGCGGUUCGGCUGGGGCGGCACUCCCGCGAAAAGAUAACACGGGAGCCCAAAGGUCGGCUCAGGCGGUACAGAACGCCGCCGUAGAGUGCAAGGGCAAAAGCCGGCCUGACGAGGCCCUUCAAAGUACGGGGCCUCGACGCGAAAGCGCGGCCUAGCGAACGCUCGUGUCCCCACGUAUGGGGGCCGGGCAUGACAGAAAAGUUACCCCGGGGAUAACAGGGUCGUCGCGGGCGAGAGCUCCCAUCGACCCCGCGGUUUGCCUCAUCGAUGUCGGCUCUUCCCACCCUGGGGGUGCAGCAGCCCCCAAGGGUAGGGCUGCCCGCCCGUUAAAGGGGAACGUGAGCUGGGUUUAGACCGUCGCGAGACAGGUCGGACUCUAAGGGUGGGGAGUGCAGGCCGCCUGAGGGGAAGGCACUCCUAGUACGAGAGGAACAGGGUGCCGGGACCUCUAGUCUACCGGUUGUCCGGUAGGGCAAAGCCGGGCAGCCACGUCCUGAGGGCUAACCGCUGAAAGCAUCUAAGCGGGAAGCCCUCCCCGAAAAGAGGCGGCCAUGCGGGUUUAUCCCGCGGGAGCCCUCCUCUAGAAGAGGGGGUUGAUGGGGCGGGGGUGUAAGCUCCGAGGGCGUAAGCCCGAGGAGUUUAGCCCGCCGCUCCCAAUCGGGCGAGCCACCUGGUAGU
This 3048-nucleotide ribosomal RNA is filed under the name Acidianus infernus. RNAcentral describes it as "23S ribosomal RNA". It matches the Rfam family "Archaeal large subunit ribosomal RNA". Lineage: Archaea; Thermoproteati; Thermoproteota; Thermoprotei; Sulfolobales; Sulfolobaceae. The record is from RNAcentral.